This 253-nucleotide ribosomal RNA is filed under the name uncultured bacterium. Its description in RNAcentral is "partial 16S ribosomal RNA". It matches the Rfam family "Bacterial small subunit ribosomal RNA", at positions 524 to 776 of the family's 1533-position model. The record is from RNAcentral.
UACGUAGGGGGCAAGCGUUAUCCGGAUUUACUGGGUGUAAAGGGGGCGCAGACGGCGAUGCAAGCCAGGAGUGAAAGCCCGGGGCCCAACCCCGAGACUGCUCUUGGAACUGCGUGGCUGGAGUGCAGGAGGGGCGGGCGGAAUUCCUGGUGUAGCGGUGAAAUGCGUAGAUAUCAGGAGGAACACCGGUGGCGAAGGCGGCCUGCUGGACUGCAACUGACGUUGAGGCCCGAAAGCGUGGGGAGCAAACAGG